Molecule: ribosomal RNA, 301 nt
Filed under: uncultured bacterium
Lineage: Bacteria
Description: partial 16S ribosomal RNA
Rfam family: Bacterial small subunit ribosomal RNA
Source: RNAcentral
CAGUCGCCGCGGUAAUACGUAGGGUGCAAGCGUUAAUCGGAAUUACUGGGCGUAAAGCGUGCGCAGGCGGUUUUGUAAGACAGAGGUGAAAUCCCCGGGCUCAACCUGGGAACUGCCUUUGUGACUGCAAGGCUAGAGUACGGCAGAGGGGGAUGGAAUUCCGCGUGUAGCAGUGAAAUGCGUAGAUAUGCGGAGGAACACCGAUGGCGAAGGCAAUCCCCUGGGCCUGUACUGACGCUCAUGCACGAAAGCGUGGGGAGCAAACAGGAUUAGAUACCCGGGUAGUCCCUGUCUCUUAUAC